CUCACUCUCUCCUUAACAUUUUCAUAGAGGAAAAUGUACCAAAAACCUUUUAGUUAUAAUGCAUUUUGAAAUAAGUUCCUUAACCUGCAUCUGUGACACCCCAAUAGUCCCACAUCGGAUGGGAAAGGGGUUGUCAUUGGAUUUAUAAGAGACUUAAACACUAGUAAUAAUAACUGGGCUUAAGCAUUUUGGGCUGUUGGCUGGGCCCAACGAGUUAUUGUUGCUAGUGGGCUGGGUCGUUACAACAUCAUAACAAAUAAAAUAAAGUAAUGUCAAUAAUAAUAAAUAAAUAAAUAAAGGGCAUAUAUCAAAACGGGAUAUAGUUAAAGGGGCCUCCAAACAUUUUAACUUACUUUUUGUUUACUUUACCUACCUAAAACAUAUGAGAUCAAAAUAAGAUCUCAAAUUUGCAAGAUUCAACUAAUUUUCAAUGCAAUCAAAACUGAAAUUUUUUUCGAAAAAUAACUAUCUAUCUACACGAUAUUUGAUAUUAAAUAAAUUUUACUCACAACACAACUAAUUAGAAUAUAAAUAUGAUGGAUUAAGAAGAGAUGAGAUAGAGUUACCUCCUUGGAGCUCAAACUAAGCUUUACCUUUUUCAUACACAAUUAGCAAGCAAAAUCUUUAAUAUCAGAGAUAGAGAGAAAGAGGAAAAAAUAAACA
This 663-nucleotide long non-coding RNA is filed under the name Ananas comosus (pineapple). Its description in RNAcentral is "long non-coding RNA (ACOM_LNC002354)". Lineage: Eukaryota; Viridiplantae; Streptophyta; Magnoliopsida; Poales; Bromeliaceae. The record is from RNAcentral.